GCGCGGUGGUCCCACCUGACCCCAUGCCGAACUCAGAAGUGAAACGCCGUAGCGCCGAUGGUAGUGUGGGGUCUCCCCAUGCGAGAGUAGGGAACUGCCAGGC
This 103-nucleotide ribosomal RNA is filed under the name Citrobacter koseri. The record is from RNAcentral. Lineage: Bacteria; Pseudomonadati; Pseudomonadota; Gammaproteobacteria; Enterobacterales; Enterobacteriaceae. RNAcentral also lists the same sequence under 205 other names.